This 257-nucleotide ribosomal RNA is filed under the name uncultured bacterium. RNAcentral's name for it is "partial 16S ribosomal RNA". It matches the Rfam family "Bacterial small subunit ribosomal RNA", at positions 524 to 776 of the family's 1533-position model. The record is from RNAcentral.
UACGUAGGGUGCAAGCGUUUAUCCGGAAUUAUUGGGCGUAAAGAGCUCGUAGGCGGUUUGUCGCGUCUGCUGUGAAAACUGGAGGCUCAACCUCCAGCCUGCAGUGGGUACGGGGCAAACUAGAGUGCGGUAGGGGAGAUUGGAAUUCCUGGUGUAGCGGUGGAAAUGCGCAGAUAUCAGGAGGAACACCGAUGGCGAAGGCAGAAUCUCUGGGCCGUAACUGACGCUGAGGAGCGAAAGCAUGGGUAGCGAACAGG